This 500-nucleotide ribosomal RNA is filed under the name uncultured bacterium. RNAcentral describes it as "partial 16S ribosomal RNA". It matches the Rfam family "Bacterial small subunit ribosomal RNA", at positions 899 to 1397 of the family's 1533-position model. The record is from RNAcentral.
ACUCAAAUGAAUUGACGGGGACUCGCACAAGCGGUGGAACAUGUGGUUUAAUUCGACGCUACGCGAAAAACCUUACCAGGCCUUGACAUAGUGGUCAUAUCGUGGGGAGACCCACGAGUCGGUUCGGCCGGACCAUUACAGGUGUUGCAUGGCUGUCGUCAGCUCGUGUCGUGAGAUGUUGGGUUAAGUCCCGCAACGAGCGCAACCCUCAUCCUUAGUUACCAACAGGUUAUGCUGGGCACUUUAAGGAAACUGCCGGUGAUAAGCCGGAGGAAGGUGGGGAUGAUGUCAAGUCAGCAUGGCCCUUACGGCCUGGGCUACACACGUGUUACAAUGGUGGUGACAAUUGGAAGCAAUAGGGCGACCUGGAGCAAAUCCAUAAAAGCCACCUCAGUUCGGAUUGUACCCUGCAACUCGGGUGCAUGAAGUCGGAAUCGCUAGUAAUCGCAGAUCAGCACGCUGCGGUGAAUACGUUCACGGGUCUUGUACACACCGCCCGU